Molecule: ribosomal RNA, 733 nt
Filed under: uncultured archaeon
Lineage: Archaea
Description: bacterial SSU rRNA
Rfam family: Archaeal small subunit ribosomal RNA
Source: RNAcentral
UGGGGAUAAUACCCCAUAGGCUAUGGAAGCUGGAAUGCUCUGUAGUUGAAAGGUCAGCCGCCUUAGGAUGGGUCUGCGGCCGAUUAGGUUGUUGUUGGGGUAACGGCCCAACAAGCCUGUAAUCGGUACGGGUUGUGGGAGCAAGAGCCCGGAGAUGGAUUCUGAGACACGAAUCCAGGCCCUACGGGGCGCAGCAGGCGCGAAAACUUUACAAUGUGCGAAAGCACGAUAAGGGAACUCUGAGUGCCUCCUAAGGAGGCUGUUCAGGUGUCUAAAAAGCAUCUGAAGUAAGGGCUGGGUAAGACCGGUGCCAGCCGCCGCGGUAACACCGGCAGCCCAAGUGGUGGCCACUUUUACUGGGUCUAAAGCGUUCGUAGCCGGCUAGGUAAGUUCCUUGGGAAAUUUGACCGCUUAACGGUUAAGCUUUCAGGGAAUACUGCUUGGCUUGGGACCGGGAGAGGUGAGGGGUACUCCAGGGGUAGGAGUGAAAUCCUGUAAUCCUUGGGGGACCACCUGUGGCGAAGGCGCCUCACCAGGACGGCUCCGACAGUGAGGGACGAAAGCUGGGGGAGCAAACCGGAUUAGAUACCCGGGUAGUCCCAGCCGUAAACGAUGUGCGUUAGGUGUAUCGGUGACCACGAGUCACCGAGGUGCCGAAGAGAAAUCGUGAAACGUACCGCCUGGGAAGUACGGUCGCAAGGCUGAAACUUAAAGGAAUUGGCGGGGGAGCACC